ACCAUUACAGGGAAAGCAACAUAGAUUUACUGAAAACAAUGAAUUUCUUACUUUAAUUGUUUCUUUGAUGCUGUAAUAGAAUUUCAUGGUCUUCCAAUAAAUGAUUAAAUGAUGGAAUAUGCAGAGGAGUAAAUAUUGCAGUUUACAUUUUAAAAUCAUCCCAAAUCACCUAACUUUAUCAGUUACACUUAAUGGAUUCAAAUAAGUAGUUUUGAGCAUAUCACCUUGGAGAUGAUAAUAGCACCUUCCUCUUUAGAAGCUCUCAAAUUACCUUAUAAAUAAGCCUUUAUCCUCAAAACUGUGAUGCAGAAAUGAAGUGCUGUAGUUAACAUCACAAUUUUAAAUUCACUGACUCUAAGUGAACUGCUUUAAUAUUCAUUUUCACUGUGAAUGAAAUAAUCUAGGGACUUGUCUCAUUAGCAUCUGUGCUGCUCUCAAAUUCAUAUAGGGACCUAGAAACUAUUUUUUAAAGUACACCAAGUUUAUUUAUUUUUAUAUGAAGUCUAUCUACCUAGGAAAACUGGAAUUUAGGGUUGUAUCUACAAUUUGUUUAAAGUUAAAAUUAUUAUAGGUGAGAUUUGAAAGUGUUGAAAAUAAGGGAUGACGAAAGGUUAUCCAUUCAUCAAUUUAUGUGUGGAGAUACUAAAAGUUUAAAUUUACAGUAUAAAAUCUACAGUUUGUAUAAUGAAAUAAAUCACUAUCUUGAUUGUAUAAUGAAAUAAAUUCCUAAUUUGCUCCAUGAUGUGAUAGAUGGUUUCUGCAUCUGUGAUCGAAUGCAGAGAAGCAAACACAUCUGUUUGGUCACAUGCCUGAAAUAAUGUCCAGAACAUGAAGUCAAACUGCUUUAAUUACCUCCUUAUGGGAGUGCCUGGCUGCUGGGAUGACUGGAAGGGGUGUGCAGGUUGGAGAAAGUCAUUCCUUCAGACUGGAGAGAAGACUGGCAAUAACACAGCAGACAAAUAAGAACCUUCAAUUUUCAAGAAACCAGUGCAGCACCGACUAGCCACUAUUGCUAUAAUCUUCACUUCCGUUUUGUAAAAUGUCAUUUUUUAAAGAAAUAAAACAUGAGAUUGACUCUAAUCUUCUAGGCUUAUUAAUUUAAUUUCAGCAAAAGGUAAACGCUAACUGUUUUGCAAGAAUUUUUCACAGAUGAUUUCCAACAUGAGUCUUUAGGAGUUAAUUUUUACUAGCAAGUGAAACAGAAUUAAU
This 1209-nucleotide long non-coding RNA is filed under the name Homo sapiens (human). Its description in RNAcentral is "HSALNT0113153". The record is from RNAcentral. Lineage: Eukaryota; Metazoa; Chordata; Mammalia; Primates; Hominidae.